GCGACACUAGCUCAUCCGGAUAGAGCAACGGCCUUCUAAGCCGUAGGUGGGCUGUUCGAGUCAGCCGUGUCGCA
RNAcentral lists this transfer RNA (74 nucleotides) under Spirochaetaceae bacterium. RNAcentral's name for it is "tRNA-Arg". It matches the Rfam family "tRNA". Rfam says of the family: Transfer RNA (tRNA) molecules are approximately 80 nucleotides in length. Their secondary structure includes four short double-helical elements and three loops (D, anti-codon, and T loops). The record is from RNAcentral. Lineage: Bacteria; Pseudomonadati; Spirochaetota; Spirochaetia; Spirochaetales; Spirochaetaceae.